ACUCCUACGGGAGGCAGCAGUGGGGAAUAUUGCACAAUGGGGGAAACCCUGAUGCAGCCAUGCCGCGUGUGUGAAGAAGGCCUUCGGGUUGUAAAGCACUUUCAGUAGGGAGGAAGGUAGUGUAGUUAACACCUGCAUUAUUUGACGUUACCUACAGAAGAAGCACCGGCUAAACUCCGUGCCAGCAGCCGCGGUAAUACGGAGGGUGCGAGCGUUAAUCGGAAUUACUGGGCGUAAAGCGCAUGCAGGCGGCCUGUUAAGUCAGAUGUGAAAGCCCGGGGCUUAACCUCGGAAUUGCAUUUGAAACUGGCAGGCUAGAGUCUUGUAGAGGGGGGUAGAAUUUCAGGUGUAGCGGUGAAAUGCGUAGAGAUCUGAAGGAAUACCAGUGGCGAAGGCGGCCCCCUGGACAAAGGACUGACGCUCAGAUGCGAAAGCUGGGGGA
This 442-nucleotide ribosomal RNA is filed under the name uncultured bacterium. Its description in RNAcentral is "bacterial SSU rRNA". It matches the Rfam family "Bacterial small subunit ribosomal RNA", at positions 335 to 767 of the family's 1533-position model. The record is from RNAcentral.